AUGGGAGUGCCGGUCAGUCCGGUCAUUUGGGUUGGAUUUUAGAAACUCGCAACUAUCCUCUGGCAAAGAAGCGCUUGGGCAACCCAGGACCUCCUCUUCGAGCGGGUGCGAUGGAAGGUUGCACCCGUCGAGGAGUUCUAGUGGCUCGGGCUGAUGCUGUUCAUCGCCGUCCCAUUCCCAGGCACCGAAGCAUGGACCGGGGCCAUCAUCUCAUCCAUCCUUGGCAUGCCGUUCUGGUCAGGCUUGUCCGCGAAUUUCGUGGGAGUCGUCCUAGCAGGGUUGCUGGUAAACUUGCUCAGACCUCUUUCAAUGGAUAGUUGCUUAGAUGAGGUGCUAAACGCAUUAAAUAGUUUAUCAACUAUAGUCCCCAAUGCAUUUGUGCUUAAGAGGGUGCUUGGAUACGUUUUAGUCUCAUGA
RNAcentral lists this ribosomal RNA (417 nucleotides) under Triticum aestivum (bread wheat). Its description in RNAcentral is "partial small subunit ribosomal RNA". The record is from RNAcentral. Lineage: Eukaryota; Viridiplantae; Streptophyta; Magnoliopsida; Poales; Poaceae.